GGAGAGAUGGUCGAGCUGGCUUAAGGCACCGGUCUUGAAAACCGGCGUACCUCUACGGGUACCGUGGGUUCAAAUCCCACUCUCUCCGCCA
This 91-nucleotide transfer RNA is filed under the name Clostridium isatidis. Its description in RNAcentral is "tRNA-Ser". It matches the Rfam family "tRNA". From Rfam's summary of the family: Transfer RNA (tRNA) molecules are approximately 80 nucleotides in length. Their secondary structure includes four short double-helical elements and three loops (D, anti-codon, and T loops). The record is from RNAcentral. RNAcentral also lists the same sequence under 1 other name. Lineage: Bacteria; Bacillati; Bacillota; Clostridia; Eubacteriales; Clostridiaceae.